This 214-nucleotide unclassified non-coding RNA is filed under the name plant metagenome. RNAcentral's name for it is "partial contains small subunit ribosomal RNA and internal transcribed spacer 1". The stretch from base 1 to 46 matches the Rfam family "Eukaryotic small subunit ribosomal RNA", at positions 1786 to 1831 of the family's 1831-position model. The record is from RNAcentral.
AAGUCGUAACAAGGUCUCCGUAGGUGAACCUGCGGAAGGAUCAUUACAGAGUUCAUGCCCAUCGGGGUAGACCUCCACCCUUGCAUACCUUACCUUUGUUGCUUUGGCGGCCCGCCUCACCUUGUGUGAGGCCACUGGUCUUGGCCGGUGCGUGACCGUCAAAGGUUAUCAACUCUAUAAUUUAUGUCGUCUGAGUACUAUAAAAUAGUUAAAA